This is a long non-coding RNA of Pomacea canaliculata, 400 nucleotides long. RefSeq lists it as uncharacterized. The record is from RefSeq and is a predicted model, not a curated record. NCBI's taxonomy places the organism in Eukaryota, Metazoa, Mollusca, Gastropoda, Architaenioglossa, Ampullariidae. The transcript has 4 exons.
UGGUCGCAGGAUGUGCAACUGGCCAUCAAAAUCUUCAAGCUUCAUUAUUAAACACCAGAUUCCUCAUGGCCCAUACAUCCAGUUCGCUUGCACAAGUCAUUAAGACAAAGGAAGGAGAUAAAAAGAUGAUAUCUGGACUGUUGGAACAAGUAACAGGGAUGCACAGCUAACAGACAGCGAAGGAGAAAAGAAUGACCAUUCAAUGCAGCAGUGUCCACUACCAUUUCCAUACUCUCUGCCGCCAGUAGUUGUCAGCCCUAGGGUGUCCCCAAGUAGCAGCUAUCGCCAAAGUACUAUUUCACCUUUGCCUUCACAUCUCCAACACUCAUUCUCAGGUUUUCAUCCUGCCAGCAUAGGGACCCAACCCCUUGGAAGUUUCAGCUCAACUAGAGAAACUUGG